RNAcentral lists this ribosomal RNA (161 nucleotides) under uncultured soil bacterium. RNAcentral's name for it is "partial 16S ribosomal RNA". It matches the Rfam family "Bacterial small subunit ribosomal RNA", at positions 329 to 505 of the family's 1533-position model. The record is from RNAcentral.
GCCCAGACUCCUACGGGAGGCAGCAGUGGGGAAUAUUCGCACAAUGGGCGAAAGCCUGAUGCAGCCACGCCGCGUGAGGGAUGAAGGCCUUCGGGUUGUAAACCUCUUUCAGCAGGGACGAAAAUGACGGUACCCGCAGAAUAAGCCCCGGCCUAACUCCG